CGUGGGGUACUCGAGUGGCGAACGGGUGAGUAACACGUGAGUAACCUACCCUUGACUUUGGGAUAACUUCAGGAAACUGGGGCUAAUACCGGAUAGGAGCUCCUGCUGCAUGGUGGGGUUGGAAAGUUUCGGCGGUUGGGGAUGGACUCGCGGCUUAUCAGCUUGUUGGUGGGGUAGUGGCUCACCAAGGCUUUGACGGGUAGCCGGCCUGAGAGGGUGACCGGCCACAUUGGGACUGAGAUACGGCCCAG
This 251-nucleotide ribosomal RNA is filed under the name uncultured Actinomycetales bacterium. RNAcentral describes it as "partial 16S ribosomal RNA". It matches the Rfam family "Bacterial small subunit ribosomal RNA", at positions 81 to 334 of the family's 1533-position model. The record is from RNAcentral. Lineage: Bacteria; Bacillati; Actinomycetota; Actinomycetes; Actinomycetales.